Molecule: ribosomal RNA, 460 nt
Filed under: uncultured bacterium
Lineage: Bacteria
Description: partial 16S ribosomal RNA
Rfam family: Bacterial small subunit ribosomal RNA
Source: RNAcentral
CCUACGGUCGGCAGCAGUGAGGAAUAUUGGUCAAUGGACGAGAGUCUGCACCAGCCAAGUAGCGUGAAGGAUGACUGCCCUCUGGGUUGUAAACUUCUUUUAUAUGGGAAUAAAAUGUUCCACGUGUGGGAUUUUGUAUGUACUAUAUGAAUAAGGAUCGGCUAACUCCGUGCCAGCAGCCGCGGUAAUACGGAGGAUCCGAGCGUUAUCCGGAUUUAUUGGGUUUAAAGGGAGCGUAGGUGGAUUGUUAAGUCAGUUGUGAAAGUUUGCGGCUCAACCGUAAAAUUGCAGUUGAAACUGGCAGUCUUGAGUACAGUAGAGGUGGGCGGAAUUCGUGGUGUAGCGGUGAAAUGCUUAGAUAUCACGAAGAACUCCGAUUGCGAAGGCAGCUCACUGGACUGCAACUGACACUGAGGCUCGAAAGUGUGGGUAUCAAACAGGAUGAGAUACCCGAGUAGUC